This 637-nucleotide ribosomal RNA is filed under the name Bacillus sp. (in: firmicutes). Its description in RNAcentral is "bacterial SSU rRNA". It matches the Rfam family "Bacterial small subunit ribosomal RNA", at positions 51 to 662 of the family's 1533-position model. Lineage: Bacteria; Bacillati; Bacillota; Bacilli; Caryophanales; Bacillaceae. The record is from RNAcentral.
AUACAUGCAGUCGAGCGAAUGGAUUAAGUAAGCUUGCUUCCUUAUGAAGUUUAGCGGCGGACGGGUGAAGUAACACGUGGGUAACCUGCCCAUAAGACUGGGAUAACUCCGGGAAACCGGGGCUAAUACCGGAUAACAUUUUGAACCGCAUGGUUCGAAAUUGAAAGGCGGCUUCGGCUGUCACUUAUGGAUGGACCCGCGUCGCAUUAGCUAGUUGGUGAGGUAACGGCUCACCAAGGCAACGAUGCGUAGCCGACCUGAGAGGGUGAUCGGCCACACUGGGACUGAGACACGGCCCAGACUCCUACGGGAGGCAGCAGUAGGGAAUCUUCCGCAAUGGACGAAAGUCUGACGGAGCAACGCCGCGUGAGUGAUGAAGGCUUUCGGGUCGUAAAACUCUGUUGUUAGGGAAGAACAAGUGCUAGUUGAAUAAGCUGGCACCUUGACGGUACCUAACCAGAAAGCCACGGCUAACUACGUGCCAGCAGCCGCGGGUAAUACGUAGGUGGCAAGCGUUAUCCGGAAUUAUUGGGCGUAAAGCGCGCGCAGUGGUUUCUUAAGUCUGAUGUGAAAGCCCACGGCUCAACCGUGGAGGGUCAUUGGAAAACUGGGAGACUUGAGUGCAGAAGAGGAAAGU